CAGCAGGCAACCUGCAGAUCUGAGAUCUGGAAACAUUGCUCCGGUGCGAGCGGUUGUGGUCUCUCGCUUCCUCUUCCAGUUUGGUAGAAAGAGAACAGAAGACUUGGAGUUGCUGCGUGGCUUGAAGACGCCUUUUUUUUUUUUUUUUAAUUUAAUGAGCUAGUUGCUGAAGUAAAUGUUGCAAUUUGCAGUUAACCCUGGUCACCUGCCCCAGGCUUUCUGAGUCGAGGUUUUCCACUGCUUAUGUGCCACCUCUCCCGCGUUCAAAGGUCUCUUUCGCUCCGAGACCCGUCCGUGCAGCAAGGGAAUUCCUCGUCCCUCCAGCAGGUGUCAAAGGUCUGGGUGCCGACGGGGGACCAGUCAGGCUCAACUUCAUUCACUGGGUCAGGGGCACCUUGCCCUGGAGGCUGGGAUGGCGCUGGGCGAGCACAGAGUGGCUCAGAAUGGUAAACCUCCGCGGGUCCUCGGGUCCGCGGGUGACGCAUUCAGUAACAUUCACAGUUUGGGAAAAGCUGCUUGGAAGAGUAGGAAUGGUGUGUAUGACAUAAGUAACACGAUGAUACUCAUGAUAACGUUAGCAGCGAUGCCUGGGAGGCCUCCCCAGAUGAGAGGCUGAUGAAGGGGCUGAAUUACAGAGAGAGGCCGCUCUGGCGUCGCUAAGGAGUUUGGAUUCAGACAAGCCCGCUCCUGUGUGAAUCCUGAUCCUGCCAGAACAGGGAGCAUAACCCCCAGAGCAUGGAUUCCCAGAAAGCUCCUGCAAGGAGCAGAGUUAAGGUGAGCACAUCGGAGUGGGUGUGAACUAUUUCUCAGCGGCCUGUCAGAUGGCCUGAAGCCCUCUGCCUGUGGCUGAGUGUAUGUCACAGGAGAGACCCCCAAGCCUGUGCUGUGGCCCAGAGCUUCUGAGUUCAUCAAGACUAGGGAUCCUUCUCCCAGGAAGCCCAUGAGAUGACAGUAGUCCACAGACAAAUUGCUCAAGUAAGAUUCAUCAUGGUGAAUGAGUCACCUCAGCAGGCCCUUCACACAGGGCCCUUGACCCUCCUCCAUGGAACUGGUACUCUUGGUGACUGCAUCUUUAGUAGGUUUGACUGUUAAACUGACCUGAUUUGGAAAUUGAAUGAAGGCCUCUGACAAUUGGAAUAAACAUCUGGUGAGGUUA
Heterocephalus glaber (naked mole-rat) is the source of this 1156-nucleotide non-coding RNA. Lineage: Eukaryota; Metazoa; Chordata; Mammalia; Rodentia; Bathyergidae. The record is from RefSeq and is a predicted model, not a curated record.